GUGAUUCAAAAAAUAAAAUAAAAAAAAAAAUCACAAAAUUGCAAAAUCCUGCAGUGGCUACAACGGCGUAUGAGAACCACUGUAGAUACAAAAAACUGGAGAAAAUAUCUGGCAAAAAAUUUUCAUUUUGAUAUUAACCUCAGAAAUUCCCCAGAAAAUAUGUGGAAUUUCUAAGUUUGAAAAGAAAAAAAUUCAGAAAUUUUUAGAUUAAUUUCAGAAAUUUUUGUGUGAAAACUUGGACAGUUCUGGUUUUGAAAAGUUGAACAUUUGCUGGAGAAAAACUCAGAACUUUUGAGGUAGAUCUCAGAAAUUUUCUAGAAAAAAAGUUUGAAAUUUUCUGAGUUUCAAAAGUGGAAUUUUUUUUUACUUUUGA
Molecule: long non-coding RNA, 373 nt
Organism: Poecilia latipinna (sailfin molly)
Lineage: Eukaryota; Metazoa; Chordata; Actinopteri; Cyprinodontiformes; Poeciliidae
Exons: 4
Source: RefSeq, a predicted model, not a curated record